GGAACACUAUACACUGAAAGAAGUCACAGUCAUAUGCAACAUCACACCUCAAAUACCUCAGCCAGCUGUGAAGUGAAAGCAGAAAAAAAUCCCUCUGAACAAAGCUUUCUAAAGAAGCACUACAAGUAUGAAGAGACAGAGGGGAAAGCACUUGAGCCCUUGCAGUAUGGCAAGCUGUUUCACCAGACCGGAUGCUGGAGUUCAAGCCGGCUGGGAUCAUCCCUGGGAUUCAGCUUUUUGACUAACGGAGGGAAGCAGACAGUUGCUGUCAAGAGGUGCAGGCAGGUACCUCAUCUUCUUCAGACAGAAUUAAUCUGCGAGGCCCAUGCUGGGGCAUGUUCCUCAGCAGGACCCGUUGGAUAUGAAGAAACACCCUUUCACAGUGUCCUCUUUUCUUUGAUAGAGAAUGUAUCACUAAGGGAACACCAGUUCUGGAGAAGUCAGUAAACAGCAAUGUGUUUCUUUACAGUCAUUGUGAACAUUUAUGUAAUACAGAUUGCGUAGACAACAUUUUCAGGUGUUGGAGAAAUACAGAGAUGUCUCUGAUGAAAGUUUUUCCUGCUUUCCACCAGUUUCUUGUAACUAAUGGGGUUUGUACCUAAUUUCUCGAUGACUGCCUGGGUCCCUGUCAGUCCCUUUCUGAAAAUGCCCAGUUGUUACACAGCUGGUUGAGUAUGUAGUUAUGGGGCUUAGUUAAGUCUAUGUAGCUGGUGAAAUCCAUCUCAGAAGAAAAUAUUAUCAUUGAAAUCUUCAGUGCUAUAUAAGCAAAGUGGACAUCCAAACCUCCUGAAAAAUUUUGGCAGUUUCCACUGACACUUAAACAAUAAAAUUGUAUGUUUGUAACA
This 845-nucleotide long non-coding RNA is filed under the name Struthio camelus australis. RNAcentral's name for it is "lncRNA (ENSSCUG00000003262.1)". The record is from RNAcentral. Lineage: Eukaryota; Metazoa; Chordata; Aves; Struthioniformes; Struthionidae.